This 523-nucleotide ribosomal RNA is filed under the name uncultured delta proteobacterium. Its description in RNAcentral is "bacterial SSU rRNA". It matches the Rfam family "Bacterial small subunit ribosomal RNA", at positions 20 to 523 of the family's 1533-position model. Lineage: Bacteria; Deltaproteobacteria. The record is from RNAcentral.
UGGCUCAGAACGAACGUUAGCGGCGCGCCUAACACAUGCAAGUCGUGCGAGAAAGGGCUUCGGCCCCGGUAAAGCGGCGCACGGGUGAGUAACACGUGGGUAACGUACCCCUUGGUGGUGGAUAACCUUCCGAAAGGAGGGCUAAUACAGCGUAAGACCACGGUCUCGCAAGGGACUGAGGUAAAAGUGGGCCUCUGUAUACAAGCUCACGCCAGGGGAUCGGCCCGCGGCCCAUCAGCUAGUUGGUAGGGUAAUGGCCUACCAAGGCAAAGACGGGUAGCUGGUCUGAGAGGAUGAUCAGCCACACUGGAACUGAGACACGGUCCAGACUCCUACGGGAGGCAGCAGUGGGGAAUCUUGCGCAAUGGACGAAAGUCUGACGCAGCGACGCCGCGUGAGUGAUGAAGGCCUUCGGGUUGUAAAGCUCUGUGGAGAGGGACGAAUAAGUCGGAGCGAAUAGCUCCGAUGAUGACGGUACCUCUUUAGCAAGCACCGGCUAACUCUGUGCCAGCAGCCGCGGUAA